RNAcentral lists this transfer RNA (67 nucleotides) under Trigonidium sjostedti. RNAcentral's name for it is "tRNA-Leu". The record is from RNAcentral. Lineage: Eukaryota; Metazoa; Arthropoda; Insecta; Orthoptera; Trigonidiidae.
ACUAAUAUGGCAGAGAAGUGCAAUGAAUUUAAGCUUCAUUUAUAAAGAUUACCCUCUUUUUUUAGUA